CGAAUGCUGACAUAAGUAACGAUAAAGCGGGUGAAAAGCCCGCUCGCCGGAAGACCAAGGGUUCCUGUCCAACGUUAAUCGGGGCAGGGUGAGUCGACCCCUAAGGCGAGGCCGAAAGGCGUAGUCGAUGGGAAACAGGUUAAUAUUCCUGUACUUGGUGUUACUGCGAAGGGGGGACGGAGAAGGCUAUGUUGGCCGGGCGACGGUUGUCCCGGUUUAAGCGUGUAGGCUGGUUUUCCAGGCAAAUCCGGAAAAUCAAGGCUGAGGCGUGAUGACGAGGCACUACGGUGCUGAAGCAACAAAUGCCCUGCUUCCAGGAAAAGCCUCUAAGCAUCAGGUAACAUCAAAUCGUACCCCAAACCGACACAGGUGGUCAGGUAGAGAAUACCAAGGCGCUUGAGAGAACUCGGGUGAAGGAACUAGGCAAAAUGGUGCCGUAACUUCGGGAGAAGGCACGCUGAUAUGUAGGUGAAGCGACUUGCUCGUGGAGCUGAAAUCAGUCGAAGAUACCAGCUGGCUGCAACUGUUUAUUAAAAACACAGCACUGUGCAAACACGAAAGU
Molecule: ribosomal RNA, 562 nt
Filed under: Escherichia coli
Lineage: Bacteria; Pseudomonadati; Pseudomonadota; Gammaproteobacteria; Enterobacterales; Enterobacteriaceae
Description: partial 23S ribosomal RNA
Rfam family: Bacterial large subunit ribosomal RNA
Source: RNAcentral